GUGAUGUUAAAAGAGGGCUUUAAGGCCCCAGAAUACAGAAUUGAAUUUAAAAGCAAGUUAUGACCUUUUGGGUCAUCACACAACUUCUGAUAAUUUUGGCCCCAAGAAUUGUCAUCGUAUUCUGUAGAAAUGAUGAGAAAGGUAAGAUAAAUAAAUAAAUAGUUAGAUAAAAGAUGAAAGCCCACUAUAAGAAGAACAAGAAGGAAAACAUUAACAUGCUUUUCAGAUUGAUGAAACAGAACUAAUUUGCAUUCUUACCUACUGAAAAUGUGGAAUCACUUGGAAUUAUGAUCAAAUACAAUAACCCAAAAGACUCAAAGGCAGUGCAACACAAAGAUAAAGUGUGGGCAAUUAGAAUAGGAAAAGCAUGCAAUAUCUGAGAUUUAGUCACACCUUUAGAGAUACUUUUAGACAAUUUUCUAGCUCCUAUCAACUCCACCUUGUUUGAAUCACUUGGAAAUGGACAAAUGUUCACUAUCAGACUAUAUGAAACGGUUAAAGAUUAACAAAUCAUCUGAAAUCAACAUUUCUGCAAAAGCAUUUGAUCGAACACCUAAAUUGCAAAAUACACUUCCACAUUAUUAGUAUGGGAAGUAAAAUAACCAUGAAAGCAAAUCAUCAAAUCACACAUAUGAACGCAAAAAUGUCGGAUAGAUUCAAUACCACUGUGCAAAGAACAGUAGUCAGAUUUCAAUCGCCAUAGUUGGCUAGCAUUUAAUAUGCCGAUAGUAAAAUCACACAUAAGAUAUCAGUUCGCAUAUUUCGUUCUCCAUCAGGGACCUCAAGUCAAUGGCUUCACGACUGCAAAAAAAGUUUAAGUUUUUUUUUGAAAGAAACACCUCUCAAGGCUCAAUUCUUUGUGGAUAGGCUACCCCUCGUUUUUUUAUAAUAGGUAUAUAGAGAGGGGCGAGAGAGAAGAUAGAGAGAUGAUGAAGUUACCUAGAAUGGUGGCCGAUUAUGGUGAGAUAGAGAUGCGUUGGGCAGCAGGAACGAUGAUAGCCUUUACAGAGCCUACUUUUGAAAUAAUUUCGUGAUAUACAGAAAAGACCUAAAAAUAAUUGGU
RNAcentral lists this long non-coding RNA (1063 nucleotides) under Nicotiana tabacum (common tobacco). Its description in RNAcentral is "long non-coding RNA (NTAB_LNC011750)". Lineage: Eukaryota; Viridiplantae; Streptophyta; Magnoliopsida; Solanales; Solanaceae. The record is from RNAcentral.